Molecule: ribosomal RNA, 1372 nt
Filed under: uncultured bacterium
Lineage: Bacteria
Description: bacterial SSU rRNA
Rfam family: Bacterial small subunit ribosomal RNA
Source: RNAcentral
GAUGAACGCUGGCGGCGUGCCUAAUACAUGCAAGUCGAGCGAACGGACGAGAAGCUUGCUUCUCUGAUGUUAGCGGCGGACGGGUGAGUAACACGUGGAUAACCUACCUAUAAGACUGGGAUAACUUCGGGAAACCGGAGCUAAUACCGGAUAAUAUUUUGAACCGCAUGGUUCAAAGGUGAAAGACGGUCUUGCUGUCACUUAUAGAUGGAUCCGCGCUGCAUUAGCUAGUUGGUAAGGUAACGGCUUACCAAGGCAACGAUGCAUAGCCGACCUGAGAGGGUGAUCGGCCACACUGGAACUGAGACACGGUCCAGACUCCUACGGGAGGCAGCAGUAGGGAAUCUUCCGCAAUGGGCGAAAGCCUGACGGAGCAACGCCGCGUGAGUGAUGAAGGUCUUCGGAUCGUAAAACUCUGUUAUUAGGGAAGAACAUAUGUGUAAGUAACUGUGCACAUCUUGACGGUACCUAAUCAGAAAGCCACGGCUAACUACGUGCCAGCAGCCGCGGUAAUACGUAGGUGGCAAGCGUUAUCCGGAAUUAUUGGGCGUAAAGCGCGCGUAGGCGGUUUUUUAAGUCUGAUGUGAAAGCCCACGGCUCAACCGUGGAGGGUCAUUGGAAACUGGAAAACUUGAGUGCAGAAGAGGAAAGUGGAAUUCCAUGUGUAGCGGUGAAAUGCGCAGAGAUAUGGAGGAACACCAGUGGCGAAGGCGACUUUCUGGUCUGUAACUGACGCUGAUGUGCGAAAGCGUGGGGAUCAAACAGGAUUAGAUACCCUGGUAGUCCACGCCGUAAACGAUGAGUGCUAAGUGUUAGGGGGUUUCCGCCCCUUAGUGCUGCAGCUAACGCAUUAAGCACUCCGCCUGGGGAGUACGACCGCAAGGUUGAAACUCAAAGGAAUUGACGGGGACCCGCACAAGCGGUGGAGCAUGUGGUUUAAUUCGAAGCAACGCGAAGAACCUUACCAAAUCUUGACAUCCUUUGACAACUCUAGAGAUAGAGCCUUCCCCUUCGGGGGACAAAGUGACAGGUGGUGCAUGGUUGUCGUCAGCUCGUGUCGUGAGAUGUUGGGUUAAGUCCCGCAACGAGCGCAACCCUUAAGCUUAGUUGCCAUCAUUAAGUUGGGCACUCUAAGUUGACUGCCGGUGACAAACCGGAGGAAGGUGGGGAUGACGUCAAAUCAUCAUGCCCCUUAUGAUUUGGGCUACACACGUGCUACAAUGGACAAUACAAAGGGCAGCGAAACCGCGAGGUCAAGCAAAUCCCAUAAAGUUGUUCUCAGUUCGGAUUGCAGUCUGCAACUCGACUACAUGAAGCUGGAAUCGCUAGUAAUCGUAGAUCAGCAUGCUACGGUGAAUACGUUCCCGGGUCU